Molecule: ribosomal RNA, 484 nt
Filed under: uncultured bacterium
Lineage: Bacteria
Description: partial 16S ribosomal RNA
Rfam family: Bacterial small subunit ribosomal RNA
Source: RNAcentral
AUUGAACGCUGGCGGCAGGCCUAACACAUGCAAGUCGAGCGGAUGAAGGGAGCUUGCUCCUGGAUUCAGCGGCGGACGGGUGAGUAAUGCCUAGGAAUCUGCCUGGUAGUGGGGGAUAACGUCCGGAAACGGGCGCUAAUACCGCAUACGUCCUGAGGGAGAAAGUGGGGGAUCUUCGGACCUCACGCUAUCAGAUGAGCCUAGGUCGGAUUAGCUAGUUGGUGGGGCAAAGGCCUACCAAGGCGACGAUCCGUAACUGGUCUGAGAGGAUGAUCAGUCACACUGGAACUGAGACACGGUCCAGACUCCAACGGGAGGCAGCAGUGGGGAAUAUUGGACAAUGGGCGAAAGCCUGAUCCAGCCAUGCCGCGUGUGUGAAGAAGGUCUUCGGAUUGUAAAGCACUUUAAGUUGGGAGGAAGGGCAGUAAGUUAAUACCUUGCUGUUUUGACGUUACCAACAGAAUAAGCACCGGCUAACUUCGUG